UGUGUGUGUGGUACUGAUGGUCUGACGUGCAGCAAGACAGUGACGCAGGAAGCGGGUGUCUCCGCCACACGGGCCAGGCGGGGCCUUUCUAAGGAUGAUAAACGUAAAUUGUAUUUUAACUUUGGCCAAGAACAGUGUUUCUUUUGUCAGUGUUGCCACGUGUCCAUUGUCUGAAGCACCUCUUGAUAACGGUGUGCACGCAGCGCAGCGCAGCGCACGGCGUGUGUCGCCUCACCAGUCUCAGGAGAAUCACGGUGUGCACGCAGCGCAGCGCACGGCGUGUGUCGCCUCACCAGUCUCAGGAGAAUCACGGUGUGCACGCAGCGCAGCGCAGCGCACGGCGUGUGUCGCCUCACCAGUCUCAGGAGAAUCACGGUGUGCACGCAGCGCAGCGCAGCGCACGGCGUGUGUCGCCUCACCAGUCUCAGGAGAAUCACGGUGUGCACGCAGCGCAGCGCAGCGCACGGCGUGUGUCGCCUCACCAGUCUCAGGAAGAGGGCAGGCAAAAGGGUGAAGGAAUGAACCUGUGAGGAACAGCAAGCCUGGUGCUGACUCAGGGCAGCGAACACCUCACGCCGCGCGGCUGCCGCGGCCUUGCCUCACUCACUCAGUCAGUCAGUCAGUGAGUCAGUCAGUCAGGCUCACUGGCCGCGUGGUGCUCCCAGCAGGCACACUGCUGUUCUCACCUCUCACUCACUCACUCACUCACUCAGUCCUCUCUUCUCUGACUCCCACGGCCUGAAGAUGCCAGGCGUGUCUUUAUUGUUGAGGCCAGAGGGAAGGGUGGGGGGAGGAGGAGGUGAGUGUUGGCUGAGGCGCAAGGAGGGGGAGGGACGCGCCCCACUGGUGUGCGGGGAAGGGCUCCAGGAGCGCCGCGGGGCAGCCGGCCAGCGCGUCCAGCUGCGGGCAGCGCGGCGGGUACACAGCGGGACUGUGCGUGUCAGGGGAGAAAGGGCGCCCCUUGGUUGGCAGUGGGACGCGAAGGCAGCGCGGUGAGGAGUCGCUGGGCGCGGCAGUCCCUGUUGGAAGAGCGCGGCGCUGUCCGGCGCCUGCUGCGUCGCCGCCAGGAAGGGACGGAAGCCCUGAAUCAGGCCCUGCGGCGCGGAGAACUGUGGCGACGACCUGGCGGGGAGGCAGAGUGGAGUGUUGACUGGUACUCACAGAACUCGCCUGAACUAACCUUUUCCGAGGCCCCUGCAGCCACUGGCAGUGUCUGGAGGCUGUACGGAUGCGUAAGGCUCCUGCUCACCCGUCGUGGUGGUCUGCUGGCUUUCUGGGUUUGCGUCUGGGCCGGUACUUGUAGUUCGGGUACUUCUUGCGGUGCAGCAGCCUGAGGGAAGGAGCGCCGCGUAUUACCCCUCUUACAAAAAAAAAAAAAUGUUAAUGUAUGAUGACGUGGUUUUACUACUGAUAUAUAUAUAUUAUUGAGUGGUGAGAGUGUGGCUCAUGUGUACUGGUGUCCUGAAGUGCGGACUCUCUCCCUCCCUCUCUCUCUCUCUCUCUCUCUCUCUCUCUCUCUCUCUCUCUCUCUCUCUCUCUCUCUCUCUCU
Molecule: long non-coding RNA, 1549 nt
Organism: Scylla paramamosain (green mud crab)
Lineage: Eukaryota; Metazoa; Arthropoda; Malacostraca; Decapoda; Portunidae
Exons: 3
Source: RefSeq, a predicted model, not a curated record